UACGAAGGGGGCGAGCGUUGUUCGGAUUUACUGGGCGUAAAGGGCGCGCAGGCGGCGAUUUUUGUCAGGCGUGAAAGCCCCGGGCUCAACCUGGGAACUGCGUUUGAUACGGGCUAGCUAGAGUUCGGUAGGGGAGACUGGAAUUCCUGGUGUAGCGGUGAAAUGCGCAGAUAUCAGGAGGAACACCGGUGGCGAAGGCGGGUCUCUGGGCCGAUACUGACGCUGAGGAGCGAAAGCGUGGGGAGCGAACAGG
Molecule: ribosomal RNA, 253 nt
Filed under: uncultured bacterium
Lineage: Bacteria
Description: partial 16S ribosomal RNA
Rfam family: Bacterial small subunit ribosomal RNA
Source: RNAcentral